Molecule: ribosomal RNA, 771 nt
Filed under: uncultured methanogenic archaeon
Lineage: Archaea; Methanobacteriati; Methanobacteriota
Description: bacterial SSU rRNA
Rfam family: Archaeal small subunit ribosomal RNA
Source: RNAcentral
ACGGCUCAGUAACACGUGGAUAACCUGCCCUUGGGUCUGGCAUAACCCCGGGAAACUGGGGAUAAUUCCGGAUAACGCAUAUAUGCUGGAAUGCUUUAUGCGUCAAAUGGAUUCGUCUGCCCAAGGAUGGGUCUGCGGCCUAUCAGGUAGUAGUGGGUGUAAUGUACCUACUAGCCCACAACGGGUACGGGUUGUGAGAGCAAGAGCCCGGAGAUGGAUUCUGAGACAUGAGUCCAGGCCCUACGGGGCGCAGCAGGCGCGAAAACUUUACAAUGCGGGAAACCGUGAUAAGGGGACACCGAGUGCUAGCAUCAUAUGCUGGCUGUCCAGGUGUGUAAAAUACACCUGUUAGCAAGGGCCGGGCAAGACCGGUGCCAGCCGCCGCGGUAACACCGGCGGCCCGAGUGGUGAUCGUGAUUAUUGGGUCUAAAGGGUCCGUAGCCGGUUUGGUCAGUCCUCCGGGAAAUCUGAUAGCUCAACUAUUAGGCUUUCGGGGGAUACUGCCAGACUUGGAACCGGGAGAGGUAAGAGGUACUACAGGGGUAGGAGUGAAAUCUUGUAAUCCCCUGUGGGACCACCUGUGGCGAAGGCGUCUUACCAGAACGGGUUCGACGGUGAGGGACGAAAGCUGGGGGCACGAACCGGACUAGAUACCCGGGUAGUCCCAGCCGUAAACGAUGCUCGCUAGGUGUCAGGCAUGGCGCGACCGUGUCUGGUGCCGCAGGGAAGCCGUGAAGCGAGCCACCUGGGAAGUACGGCCGCAAGGCUGAA